AUGUUCUCGCGAUCCUACACCAACCUGCUCGAUCUCGCCAAUGGGAAUCUCUCGGCACUCGACUACGGGGGUUCCAGCGGGGGUGGCGGCGGGCGGCCGCCGCGGCCGAGGCGGAUGCAGAGGACGUUGACGACGCCGGGCACGCUGGCGGAGCUCGACGAGGAGCGCGCGGGGAGCGUAGCUUCGGACGUGCAGUCGUCGCUCGCCAACGACCGCAUCAUCGUUGUCGCCAAUACGCUCCCCGUGCGCUGCGAGCGCCGACCCGACGGCCGCGGCUGGACCUUCUGCUGGGACGAAGACUCGCUCCUGCUCCACCUCCGCGACGGCCUCCCCGAGGACAUGGAGGUCCUCUACGUCGGCUCCCUCCGCGCCGACGUGCCAGCCGCUGAGCAGGAAGACGUCGCGCAGGCGCUCCUCGACAGGUUCCGCUGCGUACCGGCCUUCCUCCCCAAGGACCUCUCCGACCGCUUCUACCACGGCUUCUGCAAGCAGACCCUGUGGCCGCUCUUCCACUACAUGCUCCCCUUCACCUCCGACCACGGUGGCCGCUUCGACCGCUCCAACUGGGAGGCCUACGUCCUUGCGAACAAACUCUUCUCGCAGCGCGUCAUCGAGGUCCUCAACCCCGACGACGACUACAUCUGGAUCCACGACUACCACCUCCUGGCGCUCCCCUCUUUCCUGCGCCGCCGAUUCAACCGCCUCCGCAUCGGAUUCUUCCUGCACAGCCCAUUCCCAUCAUCGGAGCUCUACCGUAGCCUGCCCGUCCGUGACGAGAUCCUCAAAUCCUUGCUCAACUGUGAUCUCAUUGGCUUCCAUACCUUUGAUUACGCCCGCCAUUUCCUCUCUUGCUGCAGCCGCAUGCUCGGAAUCGAGUACCAAUCCAAGAGAGGCUACAUUGGGCUCGAUUACUUUGGCCGCACUGUGGGGAUAAAGAUCAUGCCUGUUGGGAUUAACAUGGUGCAGCUUAAAUCGCAGCUCCAGCUUCCUGAUCUCGAGUCGCGUGUUGCAGAGCUACGGAAGCAGUUUCAUGGGAAGACUGUCUUGCUUGGUGUGGAUGAUCUGGACAUAUUCAAGGGGAUUAACCUGAAGAUUCUUGCGUUUGAGCAUAUGCUCAAGACACACCCAAAAUGGCAGGGCCGAGCAGUGCUAGUGCAGAUUGCAAACCCAAGGGGUGGUAGUGGGAAGGACGUGCAAGGAUUAAAGGCUGAGAUCGAGGAAAGUUGCACGAGGAUUAAUCAACAGUUUGGGCGGUCGGGGUAUAGUCCUGUGGAGCUUGUUUAUAGGACAUUGUCGAGUGUGGAAAGGAUGACAUAUUACACUCUGGCUGAGUGCGUCGUUGUUACUGCAGUGAGGGAUGGGAUGAACCUCACACCAUAUGAGUACAUUGUGUGUAGACAGGGGAUUCCUGGUUUGGAUGGUGGUGAUGCACCAAAGAGGAAAAGUAUGCUAGUUGUGUCAGAAUUCAUAGGUUGCUCGCCAUCAUUGAGUGGAGCAAUCCGGGUGAACCCUUGGAACAUUGAUACAACAGCAGAGGCAAUGAACGAGUCCAUUGCUUUGUCAGAGAAUGAAAAGCAAUUGCGCCAUGAGAAGCAUUAUCGAUAUGUCUGCACACAUGAUGUUGCCUAUUGGUCUAAGAGCUAUAUUCAUGAUCUGGAGAGAAGCUGCAGGGACCAUUUUAGGAGGAGGUGCUGGGGUAUUGGACUUGGAUUUGGAUUUAGAGUGGUUGCUCUAGACCGCAACUUCAAAAAGCUUACAGUGGAUUCUAUUGUUGCUGAUUACAAGAAGUCGAACAGCAGGGUUAUACUUCUGGACUAUGAUGGAACUCUAGUACCACAAACUACGAUCAAUCGAACUCCAAAUGAGACUGUUGUUAACAUCAUGAAUGCUCUUUGUGCUGAUAAGAAGAAUGUUGUUUUCAUUGUAAGUGGAAGAGGUAGGAGUAGCCUUGAGAAGUGGUUCAACUCUUGCCCUGAGCUUGGCAUUGCGGCUGAACAUGGUUACUUUAUGAGGCGAACCAGAGAUGAGCAAUGGCAAAUAAAUAACCAGUGCUCAGAGUUUGGAUGGAUGCAAAUGGCUGAGCCAGUAAUGAACCUGUAUACAGAAGCUACUGAUGGUUCGUAUAUCGAAACCAAAGAGAGUGCUUUGGUCUGGCACCACCAAGAUGCUGACCCUGGUUUUGGAUCUGCACAAGCAAAAGAAAUGUUAGAUCAUUUGGAGAGUGUUCUUGCCAAUGAGCCAGUCUCUGUGAAGAGUGGCCAACACAUUGUAGAGGUUAAACCUCAGAGUGUCAGCAAGGGAUUUGUCGCGGAGAAGAUCCUAUCGAUGCUGACAGAGAAUAAAAGACAAGCAGAUUUUGUCCUCUGCAUAGGUGAUGAUCGAUCAGAUGAGGAUAUGUUUGAAGGAAUAGCUGAUAUUAUGAGGCGGAGCAUUGUUGAUCCCCAAACCUCGCUCUAUGCCUGCACAGUCGGCCAGAAACCAAGCAAGGCCAAGUAUUAUUUGGAUGAUACUAAUGAUGUUUUGAACAUGCUCGAGGCACUUGCAGAUGUAUCAGAGGAGGUUGGUUCACCAGAAGAAUUGGAGAUACUUUCUCCGUCGGAGGAGGCAUGA
RNAcentral lists this ribosomal RNA (2610 nucleotides) under Triticum aestivum (bread wheat). Its description in RNAcentral is "partial small subunit ribosomal RNA". Lineage: Eukaryota; Viridiplantae; Streptophyta; Magnoliopsida; Poales; Poaceae. The record is from RNAcentral.